GUGGCUUGGCGCCUGCAGCCAUGCGACGCUGACUUCCGGCUAGGAGACGUCAGUUCCGCUCUCUCCAUCCGCGGGUAGUUGCUUUUCCCGUUGCUGUGGCGACCGACCGCUCGGAAAUGUUGGCUUCAAGAGCUCUGAGAUUGAUCACCAAGCAUGGAAUUUCUUCUACUGUUUGUAUCCGAGCCCAUGGACAUGUGCACAGAGUUGAAUGCAGUGGUCUAAGUGUGGCCUGACAAAACCAUUGUACAGUCUCAUAACCACAAGACGUACUGUGUUAUUCUGCUUAUAUUCUCCAGCAUCCUGCUUCAACUGUUUUACCACGUUGUCUGGAUACUAAAAGUGAUUACUCUUCCUUUAUUCUAAGUAUCUUUCUCAGUCAGUCUGCAAAUUCAGUUCUGUUCUUUUAAUUUUGUAUGUAUUAGAACAAUGUGGAAAACUUCACAUUUUACGUUUAAAUUAAAUUGAAUUUUCCAAACCCUUUUGUAUAUUGUAUGCUCUGUCAUAUUUUUAGUGUGUUAAGAAAACCUGAAUUUAUGUUGGAAAUCCAUAUCUACAUUGUAAAUGUAGACCAGAAGCUCUGGGAUUUAUGAUCUUAACAGAAACACGAAUAGCAGGAAAAUCACUACAAUCAUUAACUCUUAGACUGAGUGUUCUAUGUAGAAAAUGAUAAAAUGAAAGUUAGUUUACUUAUCACUGUUUGCAUCUGGUGUGAAUACUGAGCUGUGCGAUCAGUAAUUCAUUUCAGCGUACUUUAACUAAGAUUUAUAGAGAUUUAUUCAAAUGCUACAGAAGGAAACCCAUGAGGAGAUCAGAAGUACG
Molecule: long non-coding RNA, 819 nt
Organism: Rhincodon typus (whale shark)
Lineage: Eukaryota; Metazoa; Chordata; Chondrichthyes; Orectolobiformes; Rhincodontidae
Exons: 3
Source: RefSeq, a predicted model, not a curated record